Molecule: ribosomal RNA, 253 nt
Filed under: uncultured bacterium
Lineage: Bacteria
Description: partial 16S ribosomal RNA
Rfam family: Bacterial small subunit ribosomal RNA
Source: RNAcentral
UACGUAGGCAGCAAGCGUUGUUCGGAGUUACUGGGCGUAAAGGGUGCGUAGGCGGCUUUUUAAGUUUGGUGUGAAAUCUCCCGGCUCAACUGGGAGGGUGCGCCGAAUACUGAGAGGCUAGAGUGUGGGAGAGGAAAGUGGAAUUCCUGGUGUAGCGGUGAAAUGCGUAGAUAUCAGGAGGAACACCGGUGGUGUAAACGGCUUUCUGGACCAUAACUGACGCUGAGGGACGAAAGCGUGGGUAGCAAACAGG